This 718-nucleotide ribosomal RNA is filed under the name Acinetobacter sp. 778. Its description in RNAcentral is "bacterial SSU rRNA". It matches the Rfam family "Bacterial small subunit ribosomal RNA", at positions 134 to 846 of the family's 1533-position model. Lineage: Bacteria; Pseudomonadati; Pseudomonadota; Gammaproteobacteria; Moraxellales; Moraxellaceae. The record is from RNAcentral.
UAGUGGGGGACAACAUUUCGAAAGGGAUGCUAAUACCGCAUACGUCCUACGGGAGAAAGCAGGGGAUCUUCGGACCUUGCGCUAAUAGAUGAGCCUAAGUCGGAUUAGCUAGUUGGUGGGGUAAAGGCCUACCAAGGCGACGAUCUGUAGCGGGUCUGAGAGGAUGAUCCGCCACACUGGGACUGAGACACGGCCCAGACUCCUACGGGAGGCAGCAGUGGGGAAUAUUGGACAAUGGGGGGAACCCUGAUCCAGCCAUGCCGCGUGUGUGAAGAAGGCCUUAUGGUUGUAAAGCACUUUAAGCGAGGAGGAGGGUACUGGUAUUAAUACUACCAGGUACUGGACGUUACUCGCAGAAUAAGCACCGGCUAACUCUGUGCCAGCAGCCGCGGUAAUACAGAGGGUGCGAGCGUUAAUCGGAUUUACUGGGCGUAAAGCGUGCGUAGGCGGCUAAUUGAGUCGGAUGUGAAAUCCCCGAGCUUAACUUGGGAAUUGCAUUCGAUACUGGUUAGCUAGAGUGUGGGAGAGGAUGGUAGAAUUCCAGGUGUAGCGGUGAAAUGCGUAGAGAUCUGGAGGAAUACCGAUGGCGAAGGCAGCCAUCUGGCCUAACACUGACGCUGAGGUACGAAAGCAUGGGGAGCAAACAGGAUUAGAUACCCUGGUAGUCCAUGCCGUAAACGAUGUCUACUAGCCGUUGGUCUCUUUGAGGGAUUAGUGG